This 337-nucleotide unclassified non-coding RNA is filed under the name soil metagenome. RNAcentral's name for it is "partial contains 5.8S ribosomal RNA, internal transcribed spacer 2, and large subunit ribosomal RNA". The stretch from base 1 to 120 matches the Rfam family "5.8S ribosomal RNA", at positions 35 to 154 of the family's 154-position model. The record is from RNAcentral.
GAUGAAGAACGCAGCGAAAUGCGAUAAGUAGUGUGAAUUGCAGAAUUCAGUGAAUCAUCGAAUCUUUGAACGCACAUUGCGCCCCUUGGUAUUCCAUGGGGCAUGCCUGUUCGAGCGUCAUUUGUACCUUCAAGCUCUGCUUGGUGUUGGGUGUUUGUCUCGCCUCUGCGUGUAGACUCGCCUCAAAACAAUUGGCAGCCGGCGUAUUGAUUUCGGAGCGCAGUACAUCUCGCGCUUUGCACUCAUCACGACGACGUCCAAAAGUACAUUUUUACACUCUUGACCUCGGAUCAGGUAGGGAUACCCGCUGAACUUAAGCAUAUCAAUAAGCGGAGGA